Molecule: long non-coding RNA, 2113 nt
Filed under: Mytilus galloprovincialis (Mediterranean mussel)
Lineage: Eukaryota; Metazoa; Mollusca; Bivalvia; Mytilida; Mytilidae
Source: RNAcentral
CCAGAUGUGAGAAUUUACAUGCCUGACAAAACCAAAACUAUUUUUCUAUGCUAAAAACAACAUUGUUAUGAAUAGUAAAUAUUUUUGUUUUGAUAGAAUGUUUUGAAAGUCUGUAAAAUCAUUGAGUGUACCAGUAUGGAGUGGCUAUGAUUAAUUGAAAUGAUCAGAUUCUGUCUGAACUAUCAGAGAUACAGAUUGAAAUCCAAACAUUCUCAUAGACUUUCUGGAUAUAGAGCUGUGUCAGAGAGAUCUGGAAAAACAUUUCAAAUUUACAGAUUACUGAUCAAUGGGUUCAACUGAAUAAAAUUGAGAAUAGAAAAAGGGAAUAUGUCAGAGAAAACAACCCGAUCAAAGAGCAGAUAACAGUCGAAGGUCACCAAUGGGUCUUCAACACAGCCAGAAAAUCCUGCACCCAGAAGAUGGGUCUCAGCUGGCUCCUAAAUAAAAAUAAAACUAGAUUUAAACUUUGUACCUUGUAUACGCCAACCUGGUGACACUAACCAAAAGGUACAUAAAGCUGUAAAAUGACCCAAACAGAAUAAAUGAUAAUUUUGUUUGUGUUAUUAUAAUCAGUACUUUAAAUUAGAAAAUGAUAAACUUUUAUAAACUGUUCACAAGGAUUUCAUUAAAACCAAGAGUAUUUAUGUAGACACAAUGGUAUAGAUUUCUAGCCUUCAUACCUAUCAGAUUCCCUGGAGCCUACCUAGAAAACACUUCAUAUUUAAGUACUUCUGCAUCCCUUGCUCUUUGUGUGUUACUCAAGUUACUAUCAAAUAGAUAAAAAAUAUCACAUCGUUUGAUGAUUAAAAUGAUUUGGGAAUCCUGCUGAUGAUGAAAAUCAAAUAAAUAAAGACUUUUUUCAUCUUGUUCAUAGCAGGACAGUCCUCUUAAAUUUAUCUUAUCACUUGUUUGAAACAUCACAAAGUUAAUCCAUUCAUAAAACAUAAAUUCACAUCAGCAUGGUACAACAGUUCAAACUACUUCAAUCACAUCUAAAACUUUACUCAAUAGGAAAAUAUUUCAUUCAUAACCUUCUUACAGCUAAAGAUUGCUAUCAAACUGAUAUUGUCUUGCAUGCAUAUAUAAGUACACUUCAGUUGAUUGACAAUUUAUCUACAGUAUAUUUUGACAAACUCUGUGUCCAGCUCCAAUGUUUUCGGCCUUGUGAACAUUUUUUUAAAUCAUUUUGUACUUGCAUCCCACAUCUCACAUCUGUUUUUAUGUGGCGGCAAACAUUACCACAAAAUGUAUUUACAUCAGGGUUUUUUUAAGCAGCAGACUGCUAGAAAAAUCAAAGUUUGCAGGAAAAAAAGUCGGAUUUCAUAAAAACUAGAACUCAAAAGGUUGUGGGAAGAAAAUCAGGAUAGACAUUUUUCCCUAACUUACAAGUGCACUAAAGUAAGGACAUUUAGGUGAUAUAAAACAUUUAAAACAUACGUAAAUACUAACCACUAUACUUAAUAUUACAUAAUAAGUUAAGUAUUAAAUUAAUGAUGUGUGUAAGCUGCCUUUAAAACACUAUAAUGAAGGAUGUUUCAAUGAUAUGAUAAAUAGAGUCCUCAAAUCUUUUGUGAACAAUACUAAAAUUGUCAACAGCAAUGCAUAAUAUUCUUCUAAAUCAAAUGUUAAUGACAUCAAUUACAUUUUUAAUGUAAGGAAAACCAUGUUUUUUAAAAUAUAAAUUUUCAAUAUGAGGAAAAAAUUCAUAUUCACUUAAUAGUUGUCACCAAGUCUAAAUAUUUGAAAACAAACAAAAAAGUUGCACCUUCUUCAAUGUUCAUGCAUGUCUAUUCCAAAAAAAUCUUUUCGUUUUCAAAAUUUAUUUUCAUCACAACUGAGAUAAUAUUACUGUUUCAAGAAUUACUGUUCAUAAAAUUCUUUGUUUUUGUUCUGUUUCACAGCCAAAUCUUUAACUUCACUACAAGGCCAUUUGCAAAAGGUUCAGAUAUAAUGCUAAUUUACUAACAAACAUUCUUUGUAGGACUUUUUACCCAGAAAGUUAAACUUAAUAACUUAUUUCAGAUAGCAUUAUACAACAUUUUGAAUACUUGUAAAUGGCUUACAGAUCAGUAUCUAAUGAUAUAUCUUAUUUAAACUUUAGUAAAUAUUAUUA